AGCGAACGCUGGCGGCAGGCCUAACACAUGCAAGUCGAACGAACCUUUCGGGGUUAGUGGCGGACGGGUGAGUAACACGUGGGAACGUGCCUUUAGGUUCGGAAUAACUCAGGGAAACUUGUGCUAAUACCGAAUGUGCCCUUCGGGGGAAAGAUUUAUCGCCUUUAGAGCGGCCCGCGUCUGAUUAGCUAGUUGGUUGAGGUAAUGGCUCACCAAGGCGACGAUCAGUAGCUGGUCUGAGAGGAUGAUCAGCCACAUUGGGACUGAGACACGGCCCAAACUCCUACGGGAGGCAGCAGUGGGGAAUCUUGCGCAAUGGGCGAAAGCCUGACGCAGCCAUGCCGCGUGAAUUAUGAAGGUCUUAGGAUUGUAAAAUUCUUUCACCGGGGACGAUAAUGACGGUACCCGGAGAAGAAGCCCCGGCUAACUUCGUG
This 434-nucleotide ribosomal RNA is filed under the name uncultured bacterium. RNAcentral's name for it is "partial 16S ribosomal RNA". It matches the Rfam family "Bacterial small subunit ribosomal RNA", at positions 29 to 507 of the family's 1533-position model. The record is from RNAcentral.